Molecule: transfer RNA, 73 nt
Filed under: Sus scrofa (pig)
Lineage: Eukaryota; Metazoa; Chordata; Mammalia; Artiodactyla; Suidae
Rfam family: tRNA
About the family: Transfer RNA (tRNA) molecules are approximately 80 nucleotides in length.
Source: Rfam by way of RNAcentral
UCCUGGAUGGUCUUAGUGGUUAGGAUGCAGCAUUUUCACUGCUGCAGCUGGGGUUCAAUCCCUGGUCUGGGAA